This is a long non-coding RNA of Aethalodelphis obliquidens (Pacific white-sided dolphin), 146 nucleotides long. RefSeq lists it as uncharacterized. The record is from RefSeq and is a predicted model, not a curated record. The transcript is spliced from 3 exons. Lineage: Eukaryota; Metazoa; Chordata; Mammalia; Artiodactyla; Delphinidae.
UCUUUAUGGCUGAAUAAUAUUCUGUUGUCUGGAUAUACCACAUUUUGUUUAUCCAUUCAUCAGCUGAUGGACAUUCAGAUUGUUUCCACUUUUCAGGCUGUUAUGAAUUAUGCUGCUUUAAACGUUCCUGAAAAGUUAUUGUGAGG